UACGAAGGGGGGCUAGCGUUGCUCGGAAUCACUGGGCGUAAAGCGCACGUAGGCGGCUUUCUAAGUCAGGGGUGAAAUCCUGGAGCUCAACUCCAGAACUGCCUUUGAUACUGGAGAGCUAGAGUCCGGAAGAGGUGAGUGGAACUGCGAGUGUAGAGGUGAAAUUCGUAGAUAUUCGCAAGAACACCAGUGGCGAAGGCGGCUCACUGGUCCGGUACUGACGCUGAGGUGCGAAAGCGUGGGGAGCAAACAGG
This 254-nucleotide ribosomal RNA is filed under the name uncultured bacterium. RNAcentral describes it as "partial 16S ribosomal RNA". It matches the Rfam family "Bacterial small subunit ribosomal RNA", at positions 524 to 776 of the family's 1533-position model. The record is from RNAcentral.